AGUGAACGCUGGCGGUAGGCCUAACACAUGCAAGUCGAACGGCAGCACAUUAAGAGCUUGCUCUUACGGGUGGCGAGUGGCGGACGGGUGAGGAAUACAUCGGAAUCUACUUUUUCGUGGGGGAUAACGUAGGGAAACUUACGCUAAUACCGCAUACGACCUACGGGUGAAAGCAGGGGAUCUUCGGACCUUGCGCGAUUGAAUGAGCCGAUGUCGGAUUAGCUAGUUGGCGGGGUAAAGGCCCACCAAGGCGACGAUCCGUAGCUGGUCUGAGAGGAUGAUCAGCCACACUGGAACUGAGACACGGUCCAGACUCAUACGGGAGGCAGCAGUGGGGAAUAUUGGACAAUGGGCGCAAGCCUGAUCCAGCCAUACCGCGUGGGUGAAGAAGGCAUUCGGGUUGUAAAGCACUUUUGUUGGGAAAGAAAAGCAGCAGGUUAAUACCCCGCUGUUCUGAAGGUACCCAACGAAUAAGCACCGGCUAACUUCGUG
This 492-nucleotide ribosomal RNA is filed under the name uncultured bacterium. RNAcentral's name for it is "partial 16S ribosomal RNA". It matches the Rfam family "Bacterial small subunit ribosomal RNA", at positions 29 to 507 of the family's 1533-position model. The record is from RNAcentral.